This 750-nucleotide ribosomal RNA is filed under the name Triticum aestivum (bread wheat). RNAcentral describes it as "partial small subunit ribosomal RNA". The record is from RNAcentral. Lineage: Eukaryota; Viridiplantae; Streptophyta; Magnoliopsida; Poales; Poaceae.
CAGACGGCGUUCACCCCGUACAUCACCGCCGGUGAUCCCGACCUGGCGACCACGGCGGAAGCGCUCAGGCUCCUAGACGCCUGUGGCGCCGACGUCAUCGAGCUCGGCGUGCCCUUCUCGAACUCCUACGUCGACGGGCCGGUCAUCCAGGCCCCCGCAGCACGGGCGCUGGCGUCCUGCACGACGAUCGACGCCGUGCUGUCGAUGCUGAAGGAGGUAACGCCGGACCUGUCCUGCCCGGUGGUGCUCGUCUCGUACCUGCGCCCAAUCGUGCGGCGGGGCGCGGCCAACUUCACCGCCGCUGUCAAACAGGCCGGUGUGCAAGGUCUUAUAGUGUCCGAUCUUCCUUAUACCGAGACAUGUCCAUUCAGAAAUGAAGCCAUCAAAAAUCAGCAAUGUACAGUGCUACUUACAACACCAGCCACACCAGCAGAGAGGAUGAAAAAAAUCAUUAAUGCCUCAGAAGGCUUUGUUUACCUUGAAAGUGUCAAUGGAGUUACAGGUCUACGAGCAACAGUGAACCCACGUGUCAGAGACCUUCUAAGGAGAUUAAGCAUGGUCACUGACAAAGCAGUGGUUGUUGGCUUUGGUAUAUCAACACCUGAUCAUGUUAGACAGAUUGCUUAGUGGGGUGCAUAUGGGGUGAUCGUUGGUAGUGCAAUGGUGAAACAACUGGGUGAAGCGGCUUCUCCGGGAGAAGGGUUGAAGAGGCUAGAAUUCGCCAGGAGCCUGAAGGAUGCGCUACAAUAA